Molecule: ribosomal RNA, 456 nt
Filed under: uncultured Sphingobacteriales bacterium
Lineage: Bacteria; Pseudomonadati; Bacteroidota; Sphingobacteriia; Sphingobacteriales
Description: bacterial SSU rRNA
Rfam family: Bacterial small subunit ribosomal RNA
Source: RNAcentral
ACAAGCGAGGAGCAUGUGGUUAAUUCGAUGAUACGCGAGGAACCUUACCUGGGCUCGAACGUAAGAUGACUGUAGGUGAAAGCUUACAUCUCUUCGGAGCAUUUUACGAGGUGCUGCAUGGUUGUCGUCAGCUCGUGCCGUGAGGUGUCGGGUUAAGUCCCAUAACGAGCGCAACCCCUACCUUUAGUUGCCAUCAGGUUAAGCUGGGGACUCUAAAGGAACUGCCUACGCAAGUAGUGAGGAAGGCGGGGAUGACGUCAAAUCAGCACGGCCCUUACGUCCAGGGCUACACACGUGCUACAAUGGCCGAUACAGAGGGCAGCUACCUGGUGACAGGAUGCAAAUCUCCAAAGUACGGUCUCAGUUCGGAUCGGAGUCUGCAACCCGACUCCGUGAAGUUGGAUUCGCUAGUAAUCGCGCAUCAGCCAUGGCGCGGUGAAUACGUUCCCGGGCCUU